UGGGGAAUAUUGGACAAUGGGCGCACGCCUUAUCCAGCCAUGCCGCGUGUGUGAAGAAGGCCUUAUGGUUGUAAAGCACUUUAAGCGAGGAGGAGGCUACUUUAGUUAAUACCUAGAGAUAGUGGACGUUACUCGCAGAAUAAGCACCGUCUAACUCUGUGCCAGCAGCCGCGGUACUACAGAGGGUGCAAGCGUUAAUCGGAUUUACUGGGCGUAAAGCGCGCGUAGGCGGCUAAUUAAGUCAAAUGUGAAAUCCCCGAGCUUAACUUGGGAAUUGCAUUCGAUACUGGUUAGCUAGAGUGUGGGAGAGGAUGGUAGAAUUCCAGGUGUAGCGGUGAAAUGCGUAGAGAUCUGGAGGAAUACCGAUGGCGAAGGCAGCCAUCUGGCCUAACACUGACGCUGAGGUGCGAAAGCAUGGGGAGCAAACAGG
RNAcentral lists this ribosomal RNA (430 nucleotides) under Pseudomonadota bacterium. RNAcentral describes it as "Proteobacteria bacterium partial 16S ribosomal RNA". It matches the Rfam family "Bacterial small subunit ribosomal RNA", at positions 355 to 776 of the family's 1533-position model. The record is from RNAcentral. Lineage: Bacteria; Pseudomonadati; Pseudomonadota.